GACGAACGCUGGCGGCGUGCUUAACACAUGCAAGUCGAACGGAAAGGCCCUGCUUUUGUGGGGUGCUCGAGUGGCGAACGGGUGAGUAACACGUGAGUAACCUGCCCCUGACUUUGGGAUAACUUCAGGAAACUGGGGCUAAUACCGGAUAGGAGCUCCUGCUGCAUGGUGGGGGUUGGAAAGUUUCGGCGGUUGGGGAUGGACUCGCGGCUUAUCAGCUUGUUGGUGGGGUAGUGGCUUACCAAGGCUUUGACGGGUAGCCGGCCUGAGAGGGUGACCGGCCACAUUGGGACUGAGGUACGGCCCAGACUCCUACGGGAGGCAGCAGUGGGGAAUAUUGCACAAUGGGCGGAAGCCUGAUGCAGCAACGCCGCGUGCGGGAUGACGGCCUUCGGGUUGUAAACCGCUUUCGCCUGUGACGAAGCGUGAGUGACGGUAAUGGGUAAAGAAGCACCGGCUAACUACGUG
This 468-nucleotide ribosomal RNA is filed under the name uncultured bacterium. RNAcentral describes it as "partial 16S ribosomal RNA". It matches the Rfam family "Bacterial small subunit ribosomal RNA", at positions 28 to 507 of the family's 1533-position model. The record is from RNAcentral.